UACGGGAGGCAGCAGUAGGGAAUCUUCCACAAUGGGCGAAAGCCUGAUGGAGCAACGCCGCGUGUGUGAUGAAGGGUUUCGGCUCGUAAAACACUGUUGUAAGAGAAGAAUGACAUUGAGAGUAACUGUUCAAUGUGUGACGGUAUCUUACCAGAAAGGAACGGCUAAAUACGUGCCAGCAGCCGCGGUAAU
This 192-nucleotide ribosomal RNA is filed under the name uncultured Weissella sp. Its description in RNAcentral is "partial 16S ribosomal RNA". It matches the Rfam family "Bacterial small subunit ribosomal RNA", at positions 340 to 524 of the family's 1533-position model. The record is from RNAcentral. Lineage: Bacteria; Bacillati; Bacillota; Bacilli; Lactobacillales; Lactobacillaceae.